CUGUCUUCUUGUCUUCGAAGUUCUUCAUUCAAAUUUUCAUAUUCGGCCUUUACGAAAAUCAAAUAUGAAAGAAUUAAGAAAAAAUAAAUAUAUUAUGAAUAAUUAAUAAAUGAUCACUCACCAUCAUAGUUUUUCCUCUAUCAUUUAACGGCGUAUGAGUUGACAAGAAUGCCUCUUGAAAUGACGGUUUUCGACCUAAUUUGAGACUCUAUACGAAAAAAUCUAGUUAAAAUAAUUCAUAAAAUAUUUAAAUUGAAAUGAAUUUAAAAUAUAAACUUACUAAUGCAUGAGAGUUGGCUUCAAAAGAAGCCGAUCCACCCUUGUACACCAAAUAAUCGUCGUUUUUAGUUCGAUUUGCUGAAUUCUUUUUUGAUUUUUCUACGAACUCUGGUGCCAAAAACUUGUCCAUCAUUAGUCCCCAUUUUUCUUUUGUAAUGUAUGUUGGAGGGAAAUCUUUGCAAGUCUCGUCAAGUUCUGAGACACCAGCAUUUCUCUUUGCAUCCAGUCUUGCUUUGUUAAGCCAUUUUGGAUAAUUAAUAGUCAGGUACUGAUUGAAUGCAUUCCGAGCACUGUCUUCGUCAUCAAAUUUAAAGAAUUU
This 598-nucleotide long non-coding RNA is filed under the name Zostera marina. Its description in RNAcentral is "long non-coding RNA (ZMAR_LNC001948)". The record is from RNAcentral. Lineage: Eukaryota; Viridiplantae; Streptophyta; Magnoliopsida; Alismatales; Zosteraceae.